GAUUAACGCUAGCGGCAGGCCUAAUACAUGCAAGUUGUACGGGAUUAUUGGUAGCAAUACUGAUAUGAGAGUAGCGCACGGGUGCGUAACACGUAUGCAACCUGCCUUUAACUGGGGAAUAGCCUUCCGAAAGGAAGAUUAAUACCGCAUAACAUUGCGAAACGACAUCGUUUUGCAAUUAAACCUACGGGGGGUUAGAGAUGGGCAUGCGUCCGAUUAGCUAGUUGGCGGGGUAAACGCCCA
This 243-nucleotide ribosomal RNA is filed under the name uncultured bacterium. Its description in RNAcentral is "partial 16S ribosomal RNA". It matches the Rfam family "Bacterial small subunit ribosomal RNA", at positions 28 to 267 of the family's 1533-position model. The record is from RNAcentral.